This 460-nucleotide ribosomal RNA is filed under the name uncultured bacterium. Its description in RNAcentral is "partial 16S ribosomal RNA". It matches the Rfam family "Bacterial small subunit ribosomal RNA", at positions 338 to 795 of the family's 1533-position model. The record is from RNAcentral.
CCUACGGGAGGCAGCAGUGAGGAAUAUUGGUCAAUGGGCGCGAGCCUGAACCAGCCAAGUAGCGUGAAGGAUGACUGCCCUACGGGUUGUAAACUUCUUUUAUAAGGGAAUAAAGUGCGGUACGUGUACCUUUUUGUAUGUACUUUAUGAAUAAGGAUCGGCUAACUCCGUGCCAGCAGCCGCGGUAAUACGGAGGAUCCGAGCGUUAUCCGGAUUUAUUGGGUUUAAAGGGAGCGUAGAUGGGUUGUUAAGUCAGUUGUGAAAGUUUGCGGCUCAACCGUAAAAUUGCAAUUGAUACUGGCAGGCUUGAGUACAGUAGAGGUAGGCGGAAUUCGUGGUGUAGCGGUGAAAUGCUUAGAUAUCACGAAGAACUCCGAUUGCGAAGGCAGCCUGCUAAACUGCAACUGACGUUGAUGCUCGAAAGUGUGGGUAUCAAACAGGAUUAGAUACCCUGGUAGUC